Long non-coding RNA from Gossypium arboreum, 660 nucleotides. RefSeq lists it as uncharacterized. The transcript has 4 exons. NCBI's taxonomy places the organism in Eukaryota, Viridiplantae, Streptophyta, Magnoliopsida, Malvales, Malvaceae. The record is from RefSeq and is a predicted model, not a curated record.
UAAGAUAAGAAAAAAGAAAAACCCAGCCUUAUGAGUUGUCGACUUCUAGAUAGUUCUUUGGAAAAAUAUCUGCAUCCCAAACGACUAGCUCUUGGAGAAACAAACAGUCAUAGAAAUCUAAAAAAAAAAUUCUCCUACUCUCUCAUUUGCUCGAGAUGGUGUUGACUCAGUGGUGGCCUUCAUCUCCAUCCCCUAUCAAUUUCCGAAUCGAUCUCUUAUGACCUCUAUGUACCCAUUGAUUCCUAUUCGCCCAGAUAGCCCAAAUGGCGCAGACAAAGAUGCAGCAUUCCUUCUCUUUACUGUGCAACAAUACCCAGGGUAGGGAGGUAGUUGAGAAUGGUUUUCCAAGCUGUAAUACGUACCUUUGAGGGGAGAUUACAAUUCCACAGUUUCUUGUAACAUUUUGUAAUUACAGGCAAACUGUAACCAUUACUGUUGUAAUCAUUGCCUUGUAAUAGUAGUUUGUAACCACUGCGCACAGUAUAUUGGCCUGAUGCUUCUCCCCUCCAUAUCAAAAGAUCAUUAUGUGAACGCUGGGCCAAAGGGAUUUGCAAAAUCUUUGGAACAUCAACUUCCGAAAAGACCUGGCACAUUUGGGACCCAAACAUCUUCUUCUAUACGAAUGUCAUGUCUAUUCCCCACCCUCCAGCACAAUCCCAA